RNAcentral lists this ribosomal RNA (483 nucleotides) under uncultured bacterium. RNAcentral's name for it is "bacterial SSU rRNA". It matches the Rfam family "Bacterial small subunit ribosomal RNA", at positions 28 to 524 of the family's 1533-position model. The record is from RNAcentral.
GACGAACGCUGGCGGCGUGCUUAACACAUGCAAGUCGAACGGCGAACCAGGGCUUGCCCUGGGGAUCAGUGGCGAACGGUGAGUAACACGUGGGCAACCUGCCCCCUGACUCUGGGAUAACUCCUCGAAAGAGGUGCUAAUACCGGAUACGACCACUUCGGGCAUCCGAUGGUGGUGGAAAGAAUUUUGGUCAGGGAUGGGCCCGCGGCCUAUCAGCUUGUUGGUGGGGUAACGGCCCACCAAGGCGACGACGGGUAGCCGGCCUGAGAGGGCGACCGGCCACACUGGGACUGAGACACGGCCCAGACUCCUACGGGAGGCAGCAGUGGGAAAUAUUGCGCAAUGGGCGAAAGCCUGACGCAGCGACGCCGCGUGAGGGACGACGGCCUUCGGGUUGUAAACCGUCUUUCAGCAGGACGAAGCGAAAGUGACGGUACCUGCAGAAGAAGCACCGGCUAACUACGUGCCAGCAGCCGCGGUAAU